UGCCAGCAGCCGCGGUAAUACGGAGGGGGUUAGCGUAGUUCGGAAUUACUGGGCUUAAAGAGUUCGUAGGUGGUUGAAAAAGUUAGUGGUGAAAUCCCAGAGCUUAACUCUGGAACUGCCAUCAAAACUUUUCAGCUAGAGUUUGAUAGAGGAAAGCAGAAUUUCUAGUGUAGAGGUGAAAUUCGUAGAUAUUAGAAAGAAUACCAAUUGCGAAGGCAGCUUUCUGGAUCAUUACUGACACUGAGGAACGAAAGCAUGGGUAGCGAAGAGGAUUAGAUA
RNAcentral lists this ribosomal RNA (279 nucleotides) under uncultured bacterium. RNAcentral's name for it is "partial 16S ribosomal RNA". It matches the Rfam family "Bacterial small subunit ribosomal RNA", at positions 506 to 784 of the family's 1533-position model. The record is from RNAcentral.